GAUGAACGCUGGCGGCGUGCCUAUACAUGCAAGUCGAGCGAACGGACGAGAAGCUUGCUUCUCUGAUGUUAGCGGCGGACGGGUGAGUAACACGUGGAUAACCUACCUAUAAGACUGGGAUAACUUCGGGAAACCGGAGCUAAUACCGGAUAAUAUUUUGAACCGCAUGGUUCAAAAGUGAAAGACGGUCUUGCUGUCACUUAUAGAUGGAUACGCGCUGCAUUAGCUAGUUGGUAAGGUAACGGCCUACCAAGGCAACGAUGCAUAGCCGACCUGAGAGGGUGAUCGGCCACACUGGAACUGAGACACGGUCCAGACUCCUACGGGAGGCAGCAGUAGGGAAUCUUCCGCAAUGGGCGAAAGCCUGACGGAGCAACGCCGCGUGAGUGAUGAAGGUCUUCGGAUCGUAAAACUCUGUUAUUAGGGAAGAACAUAUGUGUAAGUAACUGUGCACAUCUUGACGGUACCUAAUCAGAAAGCCACGGCUAACUACGUG
Molecule: ribosomal RNA, 496 nt
Filed under: uncultured bacterium
Lineage: Bacteria
Description: partial 16S ribosomal RNA
Rfam family: Bacterial small subunit ribosomal RNA
Source: RNAcentral